RNAcentral lists this unclassified non-coding RNA (100 nucleotides) under Trypanosomatidae sp. 137YS. Its description in RNAcentral is "trans-spliced leader sequence". RNAcentral also lists the same sequence under 2 other names. Lineage: Eukaryota; Euglenozoa; Kinetoplastea; Trypanosomatida; Trypanosomatidae. The record is from RNAcentral.
AACUAACGCUAUAUAAGUAUCAGUUUCUGUACUAUAUUGGUAUAAGAAGCUUCCGGUCCACACCGGCAAGAUUUUGGGUUCGGUUCCGCGAGGGGCCACC